UUACCAUUUAAUGUUUGUAGGGUGAAGGACCAACUCCGUAUAUUUCAUGAGAGGGUUCUAGGGGAAACUAGUUAUUUCAACAUAAUAGGUGUCUCUGCUUCAGAAAACAAAGACCAAAUUUCUUUUCAGGUUUUUGGCUGAGAUGAAGUGCAGAAAGCAAUAAUUGCUAGCAUUUAUAGUGUUCUUUCUCUGUGUCAGACACUGCUCUAUGUGAUUUGUAUGUACUAACCUAUUUAAUACACACAUCUAGCACAGGCGAUACUAUUACUGUCUCCAUCACAGCUAAGAAACCAAGGCACGGAGAGGUUCAAUAUCUUGUCCAAAGUCAUACCACUAAUAUUUUAAGCAGCCAGGGGUCAAACCGGGGCAGGCUGGCUCCGGAGUCCACAUGGUUUUCUCUGGUCUUUCUGAGUUGAGUCACCUGACUUUGCAGUUAGGGUGAUUCUGCCUGCCUUGUCAUCAGGUGCCAUUUGGCCAGUGGGCUGGGUCCUGCCUCAUCUCCCUGCAGGCUGCCUGGUCCCCCGGGCUUUUCCUCUUCUCCCCUGCCUUUAUCCUUGCAGGAACAAAUGAAUACACCUCAGGGUUCUGGCUUUGACCACCCCUGGUCCCCUCCACUGUCUUCACCCACUCCCCUUCUCAUUCUAACAGACUUACACAUUCACUAUGCCUGAGGCCAAGGACAUCCUUAGUAGGAUCUGUGGUCCCAGUGGUCCACCCACACGCUGGGGACCUGCACAUCCCCAGGGGCUAGGAAGGUGCGGGGAGGUGGAAGUAGGAGGCGGUACGGCCGGAAGUCGGCCGCCAAAGUUCCCCUUGCCGGGCUGUGUUGGCUGCUGCCCUCUAGUGGCGACCAGAGGAGCUGGCGAGGACCGAAGCCAGGUUCAUCGCUUAUGGAAAGCAGUUUUGAGAGACAGUGGGGACCCCACUACCCGACUCAUGAAGGCCAGCUCCAGGGGGUCCUCCCAUGACAGGAAUUCCUGAUGAGAAGAAAAGGUGCAGCUCUCUCUGACAAGCUGGCUCCUCUCCUCAGAAAAAAGAAAGAAACAAAGAGAAGAGGAUGACAUUGAAUGUAUCAGAGAACUAAGAAACUUCUGCCAGCCUGAGCAACUUCUCCAGCCAGGGCGACAGAGCAAGACCAUGUCUCAAAAAAACAAACAAAUGAAAAAAGAAAUUUCUGGAUGAGGAGGAUGCUAGCUCUACAUUCCACUUCACAACCAGGCCCUACAUCAGCCUAUAUUUGAAUACCAUGGCAAUUCACUACCCCACGAUCUGUGAGGAAAUUUUUCCUUACACUAAACAGAUUGGUCCAGUUUCCACACUUGGGACUGCCAGAAAAAGCCUAUAUAUCUAAUAUAAUUUAUUAUAAAUAGA
Molecule: long non-coding RNA, 1371 nt
Filed under: Homo sapiens (human)
Lineage: Eukaryota; Metazoa; Chordata; Mammalia; Primates; Hominidae
Description: HSALNT0303525
Source: RNAcentral